This 368-nucleotide ribosomal RNA is filed under the name uncultured bacterium. RNAcentral describes it as "bacterial SSU rRNA". It matches the Rfam family "Bacterial small subunit ribosomal RNA", at positions 30 to 401 of the family's 1533-position model. The record is from RNAcentral.
AUUGAACGCUGGCGGCAUGCCUUACACAUGCAAGUCGAACGGCAGCACGGACUUCGGUCUGGUGGCGAGUGGCGAACGGGUGAGUAAUAUAUCGGAACAUACCCUAGAGUGGGGGAUAACGUAGCGAAAGUUACGCUAAUACCGCAUACGAACUAAGGUUGAAAGUGGGGAUCGCAAGACCUCAUGCUCAUGGAGUGGCCGAUAUCUGAUUAGCUAGUUGGUGAGGUAAAGGCUCACCAAGGCGACGAUCAGUAGCUGGUUUGAGAGAACGACCAGCCACACUGGAACUGAGACACGGUCCAGACUCCUACGGGAGCAGCAGUGGGGAAUUUGGACAAUGGGCGCAAGCCUGAUCCAGCAAUGCCGCG